CAGUAGCCGCGGGAAUACAGAGGGUGCGAGCGUUAAUCGGAUUUACUGGGCGUAAAGCGUGCGUAGGCGGCUUUUUAAGUCGGAUGUGAAAUCCCUGAGCUUAACUUAGGAAUUGCAUUCGAUACUGGGAAGCUAGAGUAUGGGAGAGGAUGGUAGAAUUCCAGGUGUAGCGGUGAAAUGCGUAGAGAUCUGGAGGAAUACCGAUGGCGAAGGCAGCCAUCUGGCCUAAUACUGACGCUGAGGUACGAAAGCAUGUGGAGCAAACAGGAUUAGAUACCCCAGUAGUCCCUGUCUCUUAUAC
This 301-nucleotide ribosomal RNA is filed under the name uncultured bacterium. Its description in RNAcentral is "partial 16S ribosomal RNA". It matches the Rfam family "Bacterial small subunit ribosomal RNA", at positions 509 to 807 of the family's 1533-position model. The record is from RNAcentral.